RNAcentral lists this ribosomal RNA (512 nucleotides) under uncultured bacterium. RNAcentral describes it as "partial 16S ribosomal RNA". It matches the Rfam family "Bacterial small subunit ribosomal RNA", at positions 28 to 507 of the family's 1533-position model. The record is from RNAcentral.
GAUGAACGCUGGCGGCGUGCCUAAUACAUGCAAGUCGAACGAAACUUCUUUAUCACCGAGUGCUUGCACUUACCGAUAAAGAGUUGAGUGGCGAACGGGUGAGUAACACGUGGGCAACCUGCCCAAAAGAGGGGGAUAACACUUGGAAACAGGUGCUAAUACCGCAUAACCAUAGUUACCGCAUGGUAACUAUGUAAAAGGUGGCUAUACUACCGCUUUUGGAUGGGCCCGCGGCGCAUUAGCUAGUUGGUAGGGUAAAGGCUUACCAAGGCAAUGAUGCGUAGCCGAAUUGAGAGGUUGAUCGGCCACAUUGGGACUGAGACACGGCCCAAACUCCUACGGGAGGCAGCAGUAGGGAAUCUUCCACAAUGGGCGAAAGCCUGAUGGAGCAACGCCGCGUGGGUGAAGAAGGUCUUCGGAUCGUAAAACCCUGUUGUUAGAGAAGAAAGUGCGUGAGAGUAACUGUUCACGUUUCGACGGUAUCUAACCAGAAAGCCACGGCUAACUACGUG